Molecule: ribosomal RNA, 737 nt
Filed under: uncultured Bacilli bacterium
Lineage: Bacteria; Bacillati; Bacillota; Bacilli
Description: bacterial SSU rRNA
Rfam family: Bacterial small subunit ribosomal RNA
Source: RNAcentral
GACGAACGCUGGCGGCGUGCCUAAUACAUGCAAGUCGAACGCUUCUUUCCUCCCGAGUGCUUGCACUCAAUUGGAAAGAGGAGUGGCGGACGGGUGAGUAACACGUGGGUAACCUACCCAUCAGAGGGGGAUAACACUUGGAAACAGGUGCUAAUACCGCAUAACAGUUUAUGUCGCAUGGCAUAAGAGUGAAAGGCGCUUUCGGGUGUCGCUGAUGGAUGGACCCGCGGUGCAUUAGCUAGUUGGUGAGGUAACGGCUCACCAAGGCCACGAUGCAUAGCCGACCUGAGAGGGUGAUCGGCCACACUGGGACUGAGACACGGCCCAGACUCCUACGGGAGGCAGCAGUAGGGAAUCUUCGGCAAUGGACGAAAGUCUGACCGAGCAACGCCGCGUGAGUGAAGAAGGUUUUCGGAUCGUAAAACUCUGUUGUUAGAGAAGAACAAGGACGUUAGUAACUGAACGUCCCCUGACGGUAUCUAACCAGAAAGCCACGGCUAACUACGUGCCAGCAGCCGCGGUAAUACGUAGGUGGCAAGCGUUGUCCGGAUUUAUUGGGCGUAAAGCGAGCGCAGGCGGUUUCUUAAGUCUGAUGUGAAAGCCCCCGGCUCAACCGGGGAGGGUCAUUGGAAACUGGGAGACUUGAGUGCAGAAGAGGAGAGUGGAAUUCCAUGUGUAGCGGUGAAAUGCGUAGAUAUAUGGAGGAACACCAGUGGCGAAGGCGGCUCUCUGGUCUG